Molecule: ribosomal RNA, 681 nt
Filed under: uncultured bacterium
Lineage: Bacteria
Description: bacterial SSU rRNA
Rfam family: Bacterial small subunit ribosomal RNA
Source: RNAcentral
CUCCGAGCUUGCUCGGAGUAGUAAACCGGCGAACGGGUGAGUAACACGUAGGUAACCUGCCUUUGGGAUGGGGAUAACCUUGCUAACGCGGGGCUAAUACCGAAUAAUGCAGCGGAUCCGCAUGGAUAUGUUGUUAAAGUGGUCUCGAUUUAUCGAGAUUACGCCUAAAGAUGGACCUGCGUCCCAUUAGCUUGUUGGUGAGGUAACGGCUCACCAAGGCUGCGAUGGGUAGCCGGCCUGAGAGGGUGAACGGCCACACUGGGACUGAGAUACGGCCCAGACUCCUACGGGAGGCAGCAGUGAGGAAUAUUGGGCAAUGGCCGAAAGGCUGACCCAGCAACGCCGCGUGAGGGAUGAAGCUCUAAGGAGUGUAAACCUCUUUCGGGAGGGAAGAAUUUUCCUGCGACGAAUAAUUGCAGGAGUUGACGGUACCUCCUAAAGAAGCCCCGGCUAACUCCGUGCCAGCAGCCGCGGUAAUACGGGGGGGGCGAGCGUUGUCCGGAAUUAUUGGGCGUAAAGGGCGCGUAGGCGGAAUAGUAAGUCAGAGGUGAAAAUCCAGAGCUUAACUCAGGACCUGCCUUUGAUACUGCUAUUCUUGAGUGCGAGAGAGGAAAGUGGAAUUCCCGGUGUAGCGGUGAAAUGCGUAGAUAUCGGGAAGAACACCGGUAGCGAAGGCGGCUU